RNAcentral lists this ribosomal RNA (1395 nucleotides) under uncultured bacterium. RNAcentral describes it as "16S ribosomal RNA". It matches the Rfam family "Bacterial small subunit ribosomal RNA". The record is from RNAcentral.
AGAGUUUGAUCCUGGCUCAGGAUGAACGCUAGCUACAGGCUUAACACAUGCAAGUCGAGGGGCAGCAUGGUCUUAGCUUGCUAAGGCCGAUGGCGACCGGCGCACGGGUGAGUAACACGUAUCCAACCUGCCGUCUACUCUUGGACAGCCUUCUGAAAGGAAGAUUAAUACAAGAUGGCAUCAUGAGUCCGCAUGUUCACAUGAUUAAAGGUAUUCCGGUAGACGAUGGGGAUGCGUUCCAUUAGAUAGUAGGCGGGGUAACGGCCCACCUAGUCUUCGAUGGAUAGGGGUUCUGAGAGGAAGGUCCCCCACAUUGGAACUGAGACACGGUCCAAACUCCUACGGGAGGCAGCAGUGAGGAAUAUUGGUCAAUGGGCGAGAGCCUGAACCAGCCAAGUAGCGUGAAGGAUGACUGCCCUAUGGGUUGUAAACUUCUUUUAUAAAGGAAUAAAGUCGGGUAUGCAUACCCGUUUGCAUGUACUUUAUGAAUAAGGAUCGGCUAACUCCGUGCCAGCAGCCGCGGUAAUACGGAGGAUCCGAGCGUUAUCCGGAUUUAUUGGGUUUAAAGGGAGCGUAGAUGGAUGUUUAAGUCAGUUGUGAAAGUUUGCGGCUCAACCGUAAAAUUGCAGUUGAUACUGGAUAUCUUGAGUGCAGUUGAGGCAGGCGGAAUUCGUGGUGUAGCGGUGAAAUGCUUAGAUAUCACGAAGAACUCCGAUUGCGAAGGCAGCCUGCUAAGCUGCAACUGACAUUGAGGCUCGAAAGUGUGGGUAUCAAACAGGAUUAGAUACCCUGGUAGUCCACACGGUAAACGAUGAAUACUCGCUGUUUGCGAUAUACAGCAAGCGGCCAAGCGAAAGCGUUAAGUAUUCCACCUGGGGAGUACGCCGGCAACGGUGAAACUCAAAGGAAUUGACGGGGGCCCGCACAAGCGGAGGAACAUGUGGUUUAAUUCGAUGAUACGCGAGGAACCUUACCCGGGCUUAAAUUGCAGAUGAAUUACGGUGAAAGCCGUAAGCCGCAAGGCAUCUGUGAAGGUGCUGCAUGGUUGUCGUCAGCUCGUGCCGUGAGGUGUCGGCUUAAGUGCCAUAACGAGCGCAACCCUUAUGGACAGUUACUAACGGGUGAAGCCGAGGACUCUGUCUAGACUGCCGGCGCAAGCCGCGAGGAAGGUGGGGAUGACGUCAAAUCAGCACGGCCCUUACGUCCGGGGCGACACACGUGUUACAAUGGCAGGUACAGAAGGCAGCCAGUCAGCAAUGACGCGCGAAUCCCGAAAACCUGUCUCAGUUCGGAUUGGAGUCUGCAACCCGACUCCAUGAAGCUGGAUUCGCUAGUAAUCGCAGAUCAGAAUGCUGCGGUGAAUGCGUUCCCGGGUCUUGCACACACCGCCCGUCA